This 301-nucleotide ribosomal RNA is filed under the name uncultured bacterium. RNAcentral's name for it is "partial 16S ribosomal RNA". It matches the Rfam family "Bacterial small subunit ribosomal RNA", at positions 509 to 808 of the family's 1533-position model. The record is from RNAcentral.
CAGUGCCGCGGGAAUACGUAGGGUGCGAGCGUUAAUCGGAAUUACUGGGCGUAAAGCGUGCGCAGGCGGUUAUAUAAGACAGAUGUGAAAUCCCCGGGCUCAACCUGGGACCUGCAUUUGUGACUGUAUAGCUAGAGUACGGUAGAGGGGGAUGGAAUUCCGCGUGUAGCAGUGAAAUGCGUAGAUAUGCGGAGGAACACCGAUGGCGAAGGCAAUCCCCUGGACCUGUACUGACGCUCAUGCACGAAAGCGUGGGGAGCAAACAGGAUUAGAUACCCCUGUAGUCCCUGUCUCUUAUACA